This is a long non-coding RNA of Quercus robur (English oak), 773 nucleotides long. RefSeq lists it as uncharacterized. The transcript has 3 exons. The record is from RefSeq and is a predicted model, not a curated record. NCBI's taxonomy places the organism in Eukaryota, Viridiplantae, Streptophyta, Magnoliopsida, Fagales, Fagaceae.
GAUUGUCACAACUUGGUGGUAUUGCCAGAGUGGCUUUCAGAUCUCAAUUCACUUCAAAAACUUAUGAUUCGAUAUUGCCCAAGAUUAUCCUCUUUGCCAGAGGGGGUAACUCACCUCACUACCUUAAGAGAAUUGGAGAUUGUUCGUUGUCCUAAUUUGAGGAGAAGUUGCAAGCGAAAUGUUGGCAAGGAUUGGCCUAAGAUAGCACACAUCCCUUUGGUCAAAUUGAUUUAAUGAUUAGGAUAGAAUUGACGAAAUUUAAGGGAGAGAGGCAUCAAGAAAAGCAACACUUAGCCCUUCACAUCAUCAACGAGGCUCAAAAGUGCCGAGAUCUUCUGCUCAAGAUUGCAGGACCAAGCCAUAUUGCAUCGUUUGAUGCUGCUUUGCCAUGGAUAGGAGCCCCUACUAUCUUAUUGUACUUUCUGUAUGGUUUUUCCAGACUCCCUUCUUCUUUUCAAUUUGUUUUUCAACUAUUAGGCUGCAAUUAUGAAUAAUUUGAACGCAGAAACACGUAAUUGUGAAUAUUAAUAUUGCUAGCAUCACCAUAACAGUGCUACCAGUUUAGAACUAGGCAUCUUAGAUUAUAAAUAACAGCAUGGAUGUUUGCUGGUGUUGUCUAUGAGUGAUGGAGAAUCUUGCUAACAGUUGACUCCAUAGAUGGUCAUUACAGUGAAUUUGACAAAAUGAGUACUAUUGAACCUUGUGCAUAUAGGCACAAAUCUGCACUUUAAAUGUGUGCCUCUGUUCUUGCUAUAUAAAUGCAUUGUACUUCU